CAGGCACUGGGCUCUUCAACUGCUGAACACUACUUAACAAAUUUUCCCACUGUUUCCAGGGCUGUCCGUAUUGACACUUCAAAAGGGCAAAUGCCUUUGCUCAAGGUCACUGGCCAGGAAGUAGUGGAACUGGACUCGGAAUUUCAGGGCCAGCUGCCUCCCCACACCCAGAGAGAUUUCAUGGCACCAGGAGAGGCCAAGUAGGCGAGAAAGGAAACGGAAUGAUUCGUUUACUGCCCCGGGGCAUUUUCAGCAACAAGCGGAUUCUUUACCAACUGAGUUACCGGGGAGCCCUGACAAGCCCGUGGCAAUUCAUGGUUUGUGGAGGAGCGCAGUUUCUGAAAGCCCUGCCUCCAUCUGCAUGGGUGCCGACAGAGCCUCAUGAAGUCACCAUCCUGAGUUUGUGCAAACUCGAUUCUUACUGCAAUCCUGGGAGGCAGGUUGAACAACUGCCAUCAUCUUAAUUAGAGAGAAAUCUUGGUACAGAGAAGUCAAGUGAUUUGCCCAGGUCAUGGAGUGAGCUGGGAGAGGAGUGGGGAUCAGACAGGGUUGGGGCUGGGUCUCAGGUGGUUUGAAGCCUGAAGACAAUUGUUCGAAAGAGAGAACAGCUCUGCUUCCCCUUAAUAUAAUGGUGUCUGAGAAAUUUUUUUAAAGCAUCAUGCCUGCGUGCUAAGUCACUUGUGUCUGACUCUUUGAGACCCACUGGACUGCAGCCCGCCAGGCUCCUCUGUCCAUGGGAUUCUCCAGGCAAGAACAUCGGAAUGGGUUGCUGUGCCCAGCCCCAGAGGAUCUUCCGGACCCAAGGAUCGAAUCUACAUCUUUUGUCUCCUGCGUUGGCAGGCAGGUUCUUUAUCACGAGUGCCACCUGGGAUGCAAGAGAAGAAGCUGAUUCCUUUUUCUACUUCAGGUAAUUGGAACACCCAUUGUGUGCCUGGGACAUCUACGAGUUGGCUGCCUAAAUAAAGACUGAAGGAGCACAUAAAGAAUUGAAAGG
Bos indicus x Bos taurus (hybrid cattle) is the source of this 994-nucleotide long non-coding RNA. NCBI's taxonomy places the organism in Eukaryota, Metazoa, Chordata, Mammalia, Artiodactyla, Bovidae. The record is from Ensembl.